Molecule: long non-coding RNA, 5348 nt
Filed under: Actinidia chinensis (golden kiwifruit)
Lineage: Eukaryota; Viridiplantae; Streptophyta; Magnoliopsida; Ericales; Actinidiaceae
Description: long non-coding RNA (ACHI_LNC009136)
Source: RNAcentral
CAAAGCUGCAUAGAGGUGGUCGGUGAAGGUCUUGCGAGUUGUCUUCACCUCUAAAGCUCAAGAACACAUGGGAAUUGCAUCGAGGUGUGAAAGAGAGGGCCUCUUGAUAUCUCGCAAUAGCCAUUGAACAAACCCUUAUGAUAUAACUGAAGGGAUACUACAAUUUGUCAAAUAUUUGAGGAUGUAUCAGAUAGUCACUAUGAACUACAAACUAUGAAAUCAUCAACCCAGAUCAAAAUUAGUUACCAACACUCAAAGCCGCACACACACAUCAGCUUAUUGAAGAACCAAUACACACUAUAUUAUACUUAUAUAAGGAUUAAAAAAUAGUGUUCCCAACAUUCGAUUAUAUUUGUCUUUUUUAAGAGUUUCCAACUUUCUAAAGGUAAAGUAGUUAUUGCAUUGGAACUCAAAUUCAAAUACUUGUAUAUGAUUACCAACGCUGCCCCUUUAUUUCAAAUAUAUUACAAAUCUCAUGCUUUGAUGUUUUAAAGUGGGCAACCAUUUUGGAAUAUCUUUAAAUAAAAAGAUAAACAAAAAAAACAAGGACAAUAGGGAGUAAUUAAGAAUCUGUAGCAAAACCAUCUAAUUCUAAUCCAUGCAAAUGCAACAAUACUACAUACCCAUAAAAAUUAGCCAUAAGAAAUGUAAAUGCACAUUUUUCAUGGAUGUAACGUUAAACGCAUCCAUGAAUAGAUAGUGAAGCAACUUCUAUUUUUUUUAUUGUUAAUUUCUAAUUUUCUGAUGGGAAACAAUUCAUCUGCAUAUUUAGCUUUCCUAUUUUCAAGCACAAAAUUAGUAUAGUCAAUAGAUUUAAUUGUCCUUAUAUAAUGGAAUACCGUAUCACCUAUAUAUAUAAUAAGUGUAAUACCCUAUUUUUAUAAAUAGAUAAAUAUUUAUUUUAAAGUUCGAUUAAAAUUUUCUACAACUCGGGUAUAUAUAUUUUUUAUACUGGGUAGGUAGUAUAGGGUCAUUUUGUAUAAAUUCGGUACCUAGGGGUUACUGUUUUUCAAUUUAAAUUAAAUCUUGUAUUUUUAGACUGUGGGUAAUUACGCGUGUGAGAGAUAGUCAAAUGGGGGUGUGGGUUGGUUAUCUUCGAUUAGCAUAUCCAGAGUAACAAAUUUGGGGUUAUUGAUCAGAGAAAGAGAGAGAGGAGAAGAAGAAGAAGAAGGAGAAGAAGAAGAGGGAAACCAUGGAGAUAAAUUGACGGAAUUGUUGUGCCCAAAACUUAACAGAAACCACACACACAGAGACAGAUAUUUACGAAGUUUGUUAAAUUGCCUGCGUCCUCGGGUGGUAGCAAUUCUAAUAUAUAGAGAAAGAUUUCCAAAUUAAAGUUUCUCACUCUCUCUCUCUCUCAAGUCUAAUAUAUAGAGAAAGAUUUCUAGAUUACAAGUUUCUCAUUCUCUCUCUCUCAUGUUUUCUGAUUUACUCUCACCUACCCGCACCAUUCUAAAGUCUAUACAUGAGGUCAAACUCUUGGAAUCCAAACAUGAAGUUAAAGCCAAUUUUCAACGAUCACCUUGGCGAAAAUUUCUCCCAACCAUAGUAAUACUGUCACCAAUGCCCUUUUAAGCAUUUUAGAUUUAGCAUUGGUCAUCGUAGUCCUGUGCUCAAAGAUGGUAAAAGUACCAGUAGUCUUCGAAGAUUCUACCAUCUUAACAAUUUCGGCUCCACCAAAACUAAUAUGGAGUCAAAAUCCACAAAUUCGAAUCUCGCAGAUAGAUCCAAAGUACAGGAAAACCUUGGAGAGGGUCUAAACUAAAAAAUUCAAAAAGUUUAGGGAACAAACUAUAAUUAUCAAAAUUUCAAAGAUCCAACUGUAAUUUUAACAAACUUUUGGGACCAAAACUUAAUUUUUCCAAAAAUUAGGGACUUAAAAAAUAAAAAUUUCAAACUUCAAGGACCACUAUGUAAUUUCCCAAAUUGAGAGAAUAUUCUUGGAAUAUUCUAUUUGUUGACUAGGCACUAAUUGGAUCGUUUAUGUGGCACUAAUGUGGUGAUAAUUGGAUGCUGACUAAGCGCUGGUUGAUGUUGAUGGGCCCUUGACUUAAUACUGACAGAGUGCUGACGAGGCAUUAACGAAGCAUGUGCAGCUCGUGGACUACUUAGAGUGUAGCACGUGGGCGUGAGUAGAUUUCAUGCGCCGAUUGCUAGGUGGCGUGCGGGUGUGUGUGUGUGUGCGAGGUUUGGGUCGCAGUUUGAACUAGGAGAUUCGUCUCAUCGAGACGAACAUGAUGGUGUUCUCAAAAAAUAUUUUAAAACACUUGUAAUAAACUGAGACUCUAUCUGACUCUGAUAUUAUGCUCAUAAUUAACAAAAACCACACACAGAAACAUUUACACACACAAAGACAGACAAGGUUCGACAAAUUGCCUACUUCUUCGGGUGGUAGCGAUGUCAGUAUAUAGAGAAAAAUUUACAAAUUACAAGUUUUUGACUCUCUCUCAAGCUUUCUGAUUUACUCUCACUUACCCACACCAUUAUAUAGCCUAUAUGUAAGGUAUAUAUAGGAUGAGAUAUACAUAUUUCAGAAAGCCAUAGCGACUUUCUUGGAGCUCAAAAGCUCCAUCGGAAGGGAGCUACAUUGGAAAUGAUUGUUCUUGAAAAUGGAUGAAUCAAACUCUUGAAACCAAAACAUGAAGUUAAAGCCAAUUUCCAACGGUAAUUAAAUGCUAAAUGCAAUAUGUAAUAUUAUUAACUAGAAAAUGAGCAAGUUUGCAAAAAUUUAUUUGUGGGUAGUAGAUCAACUUGCACCAAAUAAGUUUAAAAAUGACAAAAUUUCAGGUCUAGUAUUUUAAUGUAACAAUAAACCAAUCAUAAUCUCUUUCUGAGAUUUGAAAUAUGAUUGGGAUCCGCUAGCUUUAGUUGACAAGUUGAUGGAGAACUUGUAGUCGCCCGUUACAUGGACGGCUUCUAUGGUUGCUGAUUCGAUUUGGGCCUGAAUGGACAUUGGUGGAAUGGGUUAAAAAGAUCCAUAUUUGAUGUAAAAUGAUAGAUGAUCAAUACUCAUCGCUUUACUAUAACUAGCGAUGAAUUUCGGCAAUAUUUUGUCGUUUAGACGGAAAAAAUUGUCAUUUUUUGAAAUAUUUGACAGGUGAAUAACUCAUGAUUUAAUUCCGAUUUAUGCGGGAUUUGUGGGAGAGUUUUUUUUAUCCUUAUAGUUUCUAGAUUUGAGUUUAACUCAAAUCUUUCAGUAUUUUUUCUUUUUUGGUAAAUUUUAAUUUUCCUAAAUAAUUGCUUGAUUAACAAGCAAUUACCUAUCUUUAUUUCUUUACUAAGCUCAGUUAGGGUUUAUUAGCACUGUAAAUACAAUGUAAUGCCUCUUGGCUAAUUAAUUGAGUUUGACUAAUAAUAGUGAGUUGAGAGAGCAUAUUUUCUUUUUCAUAUUUUUUUGAUAUUCAUAGGAUUCGACAGAAUUAUAAAAUGGAUUGUUAUUUUUUCUUGCUUUCAAAUCUAUUCUUCACAACGUUUCACGCUGCAUCACAAGUCAAAAUAGUUAAAAUGUACAUUCUUAUACUCUAGUCUCUAGAGAAGCAACAUCUAUUUCCUAGCUAAUGCAUCUAGUUGCAUCACUACCACUCAUUGUUUUUUUGUCUUUUAAGUUAUAUUAAUUGUGCAUGUUUUGGGGAUCAUAUAAGUUGAAAAACCCAAAUAAGUACACCAUGUAAGCCUUAACCAAUAAUAUCUCCACUUUGCACUCUCAAUUAUAUAAACCUUGCAAUCAACCUUGACAUCCAACAUUUAUCUAUAAAAUAGACAAAAAAUUCCAGUUAAGUUAUCACGUGUUGACCCGACUCAGAUCCAGGGGCAAUCCAUGUUAACACCAUAAAAAAAAUCCAAGUUUGAAUUGUGUUCUACCUUGUUCUCUCUCCGUUUAUUGUUUGACAAAAAAUAUUGAAUUUGCAUAUUUUUUAUGAUAUUAACAUGGGUGGUCCAAUCAACAUGUGGUGUGGCAAUUUUAGUCCACUUUGUAGAUGGACGUUGGAUGUUGGGAUUGAUUACAACGGUUUAUAUAGUUGCGUGUACAAAUUAAAAAACAUAUUAAUUAGGAAAAAAAUGAGAAUUGUUCAAUACUUUGAGGGGACAAAUUGCAGUUUUCCCAGCUCUAGAAAUACCAUUGGAGGAGUACCACGGAAAUCACACAUCAAACUUUUACAGCUCUAGAAAUACCAUUGGAGAAGAAGGAUCCCGGAAAUCACACAUCAAACUUUUUAUUGUCUAAAAAAAUUUGCUUUUUCAAUCUUUUUAAGAAGAUUUGGGCUCGAUGUCCAUGGUGCCCAAUUCUUAAUUGAGUAUUCCUAUUCAAAAUAAAAAUUUAAGCUCAAAUCGAUUAUAUGCUAAACUUUAAUUGCUUACCAUGUAAGCCCCGUCAACUACCAACCAAUCAGCAUGAAUAAACAUUGAACCGCGUAUCAAAAAUCUUGAUGCCAAAAUUUUAUUUUGCCAAUUCAGACAAUACUCUUAUUACUCUUAUAUGCAUCUUUCCCUAUUCUGUCACCAUACCCUCCAACCACCUCACCACCACUACUAGGCCAUCACCUUCAGCGGUUGAUUGUUAUUUUCCGGUCAACCAUUGACAAUUUUUUGGACGGGCCACCGACUUAUUUUCUGGUUAUCGCUAACUUUUUUUAUGGCAGCACGAUUUGUUCAAAUACUUUCCAAAAACUUUCUAGCAACGGUUUUUCACGUGACUACCCUUAGCAACUUUUUCUAGAUAAGUGGCUUGCUGUUAGACCGGUAGCUUUCCAACAUGUACCGGCAGACAGACAACACUAGAUCGAGAUAGUUAAAUUCUAUAAGCAGAGAAUUUCAUUGUUCAUUCAUCAAUCACAUAUACCAUUAAAAAAAUUUUAAUUUAACAAGAAAACAAAAUUUGUGUACAUGAAAGGGGUAGGUGUAGAACCUGGUACUUAAGCUAGGGAUAUAACCCUGGACUCCUCCCAACUUCAAUUAACUCCUAAAGUUGUUGCAAGUACGCUACAGUGUUCCAUGUAAGAAGCAAGUAAUUGUUAGUAACGCAAAUAUAUAAAGGAGGAGCUAGUUGCACCACUCAAGAAUGGAGUCAAGAGGUGGCGGCUGGAGGCGACCGUCUGAAAUAUUCAAAUUGUAUAUAUUUGACACCUUGAUAUUGAAAUUAAGAUUGCAUUUUCUACAUAUACAUGUUACAAAUUUUAUAUUUUGUAUGUAUAUUUAUCUUUCCAAAUGUCAAAAUCAUGCUUCGGUCCCUAGCACCACUUGUUGAAGUAUGACAAAUCCUUGUCCCCUUGACACUUCAUAGUUUAAAUUUCAAAUGCUUUGAACAUGGCAUUGGAAAACACGUAGUAAUUGACACGGCAUUGGAAAAA